CCAAUCCUGAUGUGUACGUUGUUCGAAUGUACGUUUUGACCGAACAUUUAUGUACAGGGAGCCUGGUGUUUCCAUGUGGAGUGCAAGCCUCAUUCCGAUGAGGACGCAUGAAGCAUGGAACAGGGCACCCACCUGCUAGGAGCGGGUUCAAAACUCAUGAAACAACGGCACAAUUGGGAUUGGA
Molecule: non-coding RNA, 184 nt
Filed under: Thalassobacillus devorans
Lineage: Bacteria; Bacillati; Bacillota; Bacilli; Caryophanales; Bacillaceae
Also listed under: 1 other name
Description: 6S / SsrS RNA
Rfam family: 6S / SsrS RNA
About the family: E. coli 6S RNA was the first non coding RNA to be sequenced, but its function was unknown until recently. It consists of 184 nucleotides that fold into an extended hairpin structure with a large single-stranded internal bulge. The 6S RNA specifically associates with RNA polymerase holoenzyme containing the sigma70 specificity factor.
Source: RNAcentral